GAAGAAGGCGGAAAAGCCGACCUUUAUCCAUUUGCUUGCAGAAACAACGAGCUCUCUCUCGCGCAGCAACCACAAGCUCUAUUUUGGAGAAACUACGAAACAUCUCGACUUCUCUCUCAGAGCCCAGCUCGAGUCCUCAGAUAUGAAGAGGAUUUGUGAAGUUGCUGUGAUUUCAUGCUAAGUUUCUUUGAACGGAUUUGAGAAUUUGGGAUCGUAUGGGGUGUUUUGAAGGUUUUUUAUUUUAUUUUUUGUUUUGGGGAAAAAAAUGGUUAACAUGUCCUCUGUUAGGAUUUUCCUGGCAAAGAGUAUAGAGCAAGGGAAGGGAAAAAUGAGAGAGACACGGAUUGGAGCAUUUUUUUUUAAUACGGGUUGAGGCUUUUUUUUUUAAUUGAUUUGGGGUUCUGUUUGGGUUUGGGGUUGUGAUAUUUCUGUGUUUAAUUUGGUAUUUUCAUAGUUUGGAGUUGAGCGGUUAAUUUUUUGGACCUUAUGAUCUCAUUUGUGAUUAUCAAGUGCAUAAUGGUUAAUUUUUUUUUUGAAAUGGUGCUCAGAAUUAUCACCAUUUUUCCCUUUAUUUUUCGGUGGAAGCACUGUUCUCUUCAUGCUAAUUGUUGAAUUGUUCGAACCAGUCUGUUGUAUAUAUAUAUUUUCCCCGUUCCUCUGUUUGUUGUCUGUAUAAGUACGAAUUCAUCAAUUUAUCAAUUGGGUUGUUCUUCGUUUGUAAUUUCAUUAAUUGGGUCUUUAGAUACAUUUUAUUGUUGAGGAGGUGAGAUGUUGCCUACAAUAGGCAUCAACUAUUACAAAAACCUUUUUAAUGAAGAAACAAGAGAAAUAGAGACAAUGAAGAUUGUAAUCAACAGUUGGGGGGCAUAAUCGUUUCUGAUACCUUAAAAAGAAUGAAAAACAAAACUCAGUAUUUGGAUACAAAGAAAAUUAGGAAGUCAGAUAGAUGUUAACAUAAUGAAAAUAAUUCCACCGCUUCCCUCCUCUAACUUGAUGACCAUCCUUUUGGAACAAUGUUUGAUGAGUUCUUAUUUCGAAUGUGUUUGCCUAACCAUUGUAAAUUGCUGGAGGUCCUUUUGUUCUUUAUCUUGCUCACAAGCAUAUUGAUAUGUAAAUGUAUGUAAUAAUUUGUGUACUGAUAGGAUAUAUGCAUUACACAUGUUAUGUUUGUUACUGUUUUAAAGCAUUAUUAGAUAGCAUGUUGCAUAUUCUUUUAAUACUUACUUUAUUAUUGCAAAUUUGUGAAUCUUAUACCAUAGCAAAUCUUAUGAAUUCUCUUUUUCCACUGUAUCCAAGGUUGGGCAGAUGGUGUGCUUCGAUGUAUCAUUUUGAUAGCUUUUGAUAGCUUUUGUACUUACAAAACAAUGAGCAUCGUACCAAUCUGUGAAUUAAAGCCUUUUAGAAACGAUAUGAAGAUCAAAGUUAGAAUAUGCCGGUUGUGGAGACCCAAAAUGUUUGGACGCCAAAACCAAUUCAAUGGCUUACAAUGUGUACCGGUUGAUGAACUGAAUGAUGCCAUUGAAGCCUUGGUCUUAGAAGCAGACUAUGAGAUAGUAGCUCCAAAAAUUAAAGUUGGUUGUAUAUAUGAGAUCACACGGUUGCAUAGCCGUUCCAGUAAACAAACGUACAAGGUCAUACCACACACUGUACAACUAUACUUCAAUGGGAAAACAACUUUCAAACAAAUACCAGAAAGACCUCCACACAUUCCUGAGCACCGCUUUUAUUUAGUGGAUUACAGUGAAUUGUUAUCCCGUGUAGGUAAAGUUGAAAUUCUCACAGAUGUUAUGGGACAUAUCACAGCAGUGCAACCAUUGGAAGACAGAAUGGUUAACAAAGAAAGACUGGAAACAAAAUGUGACGUUCACCUUCAAAACACCAGGUAAUCAUUUUAUCAUGUGGUAAUCGUUCAUUAGACAUUGAAUACGUGUCAAGCGUAUAUUCAACUAUAACAUGACUGACAUUAUGGGAAAGAAUAGGCAAUUGUAUUUAGAUGGGUGGAAUACAAAAACUAUUGAUGCAGGAACCUGAACCUAUGGUGAUCCAUAUGCAAUUUAAGAAACAAAGAAGUGAGAGUUACACUUUGGGGAGACUGCGCCAGGACCUUUGAUAUUGAAGUUGUAACAUAACAACCAUCACCAAUUGUGGCUGUGUUCACAAGUCUCAAAGUAAAACGGUUCCUAGGAAACACAAUGCUUAGCAGUACCGGAUGCACUUUGUUUUUCAUAAACCCAAAAAUACCAGAAGCAGCAAAUUACAAAUCGAUUUCCAAUCAUGCUUUGAAAAUGAUUCCAACCUCAGCACAACUAAUGACACCAGAUCAAUUGGAUGCCGCUGAAAAACUAUCAAUAGGGCAAUUGAAUAUCUUGGAUCCAAAUCUUUAUGAGAACACUCCAUUUCUGUGCAGAGCAGCAGUUGUACGUUUGAUUUGAGUAACGGCUGGUGGUACAAGGCAUGUCCAAUCUGCUUCAAACAACUAAAACCAAAGCCUCAAAGUGACCUGCUGGUUUGUCCAACUGAUGAUAUUCAAAACCCUAUUGCUUGGUUCAAAGUUAGUUUAAUUCUUGAAGAUGCCAAUGACGAAACCAAUGCCAUCAUUAUAGGUAAAUCAGCCGAAGAACUAUUUGGAAUCACAUGUGAAGAAUUAGUAAUCAACAAAAGUUUCUGUGACCAAAAGGAAUUACCACAACAAAUACUUCGAGUAAAAGGUCAAAUCAAACUUUUCCAACUCAGACUUGGGAAAGUUAAAAGUGACACAAGCAGAAAUGACUUGCUCAUCCAAACUGUUUUCAAGGAUCAAGCACAAAUUCACCCUUCAAACAACAACAAAGAUGAUGAAGCAAUAAGUAACCUUGGGAAGAAACAUAUGGUUCAUGAAAUGUUACCAUGCACACCACCACUCUCACUCAAGAAAUCUCUACCUUCCAUCUCCAACUGAGAGCAGUUCAAGUUCAAAGAAACGACAAAGGGAGCCAGUCAAAAAGAGUCUUUUCACCUCUACACCAACAAAAAAAAUCUAAAAGUGAUACCACAAGUGGAUACAGUGAAGAGACCUAUGCAUUUGAAGAGACCGAUGACGAGAAUGUAGCAAACACAGAUAAAACUCCCAGUGAAUAGAUUCAUCGUUGUCAUGCAAGAUGGAGGAGGCACCAUUAACGUGAGGAGUUACGUAUAUGGGUGUCUUUAGUGAAACAAAUCUUACUUUUUGAGCUGUGUACAGUUUUAAACGUAAAAGUCUCCCUGGGAUAGGACCAUAGCUUUUGAAAAACAAUCUCUGAGGAUGAUAUACUAACAUCCUCAACUUUUUGCAUGUAAUAUAUAAAUGUAAAUAGAACUCUCUGGCUAUGGCGUACGACCAUCUCAAUUUUUGUCGUGUAAUAUAAGAAUGUAAUAUAUGUAUAUCCCUUACUUUGGCACAUAUUUUCUCAUGUAUAUAAGCCCUACUUUGUACA
This is a non-coding RNA of Malus domestica (apple), 3452 nucleotides long. NCBI's taxonomy places the organism in Eukaryota, Viridiplantae, Streptophyta, Magnoliopsida, Rosales, Rosaceae. The record is from RefSeq and is a predicted model, not a curated record.